AGCAUGUGGUUUAAUUCGAAGCAACGCGCAGAACCUUACCAGCCCUUGACAUCCCGGUCGCGGAUCGCAGAGAUGCUUUCCUUCAGUUCGGCUGGACCGGUGACAGGUGCUGCAUGGCUGUCGUCAGCUCGUGUCGUGAGAUGUUGGGUUAAGUCCCGCAACGAGCGCAACCCCCGCCUUCAGUUGCCAACGGUUCGGCCGUGCACUCUGGAGGAACUGCCUGUGACAAGCAGGAGGAAGGUGGGGAUGACGUCAAGUCCUCAUGGCCCUUAUGGGCUGGGCUACACACGUGCUACAAUGGCGGUGACAGAGGGAUGCAAUACCGCGAGGUGGAGCAAAUCCCUAAAAGCCGUCUCAGUUCGGAUUGUUCUCUGCAACUCGAGAGCAUGAAGUUGGAAUCGCUAGUAAUCGCGGAUCAGCUCGCCGCGGUGAAUACGUUCCCGGGCCUU
Molecule: ribosomal RNA, 449 nt
Filed under: uncultured Alphaproteobacteria bacterium
Lineage: Bacteria; Pseudomonadati; Pseudomonadota; Alphaproteobacteria
Description: bacterial SSU rRNA
Rfam family: Bacterial small subunit ribosomal RNA
Source: RNAcentral